CGGUGGGGGCCCGCCGCCGCGAUGAGUUGGCGCCUCCCCUCGAAGCAGCUCGGCCUCGGCGGGACGCGCUCGGAUGCCCUGAUUGUGAAGUAAGUUUGUCUCAAGUCCCUGGAAUCGUACUUGCAGUGCUUCUUCCAAUCCAUCCUGCCACUCAUAGGACAAACAGCAGGAUUUCGUUGUCUAGCACAUGAACGAUAACAGCAACGCCAUUGAACAAGAUGGGAAGAACCCUGUUUUUGUUUAGGUAGUGAUACGGUCAGUCACAGAGAAGAAAUCCUGGCUUGUAUGAGCACAUCAUAUCAAUCCGUUCUCAUUGGCAGUGUCUGGGGUUGGCAGGUGACUAGUCCCCGAUGAAGACACUUAUGAGGAAGGUCACGUUGAAGAAAGACCCCGCCACCCACUCAGCUGCUCCCUUCUUCUCUUCAGGCUUUUUUCAUAUUGUCUCAUGAGGACUUGAUAUUUGGAGAGCUGCUGCUGAAGCUUGGAAUGUCCCAAUGGAUACACAUGAUACAUAUGCACAAUUAUGAACUUAUACUGCAGUUCUAGAUUUAUUGACAGGGAAAGAUAUCUAUGAUAUG
This is a long non-coding RNA of Balaenoptera musculus (blue whale), 578 nucleotides long. RefSeq lists it as uncharacterized. The record is from RefSeq and is a predicted model, not a curated record. NCBI's taxonomy places the organism in Eukaryota, Metazoa, Chordata, Mammalia, Artiodactyla, Balaenopteridae. The transcript has 3 exons.